UUAUCUCUGUAGAGUCUGCAUAUCAAUAAGCGGAGGAAAAGAAACUAACUAGGAUUCCCUUAGUAACGGCGAGUGAAGCGGGAAGAGCUCAAAUUUGAAAUCUUCAAGGUUUUACCUUGACGAAUUGUAGUUUAAAGAAGUGUUUUCUGUUGAGUGUUUCGGUAAAAGUUCUUUGGAAUAGGACAUCAUAGAGGGUGAGAAUCCCGUAUUUGACCAUUAUUUCAGCUGUGUGAUACACUUUCAAAGAGUCGGAUUGUUUGGGAAUGCAGUCCAAAAUGGGUGGUAAAUUUCAUCUAAAGCUAAAUAUUGGCGAGAGACCGAUAGCGAACAAGUACCGUGAGGGAAAGAUGAAAAGAACUUUGAAAAGAGAGUUAAACAGUACGUGAAAUUGUCAAAAGGGAAGCGUUUGACACCAGUGUUGUUUUCUCGAAAAUCAAUUAAAAAAGGCAGGAUUUUGUGUUGUAUUGACUUUAUCAGCUUUCUGCACUCUUUUCUUGUCUUUUUUUAAUGCACUUUUCGUUUAACAAGUCAACAUCAAUUUCUUUUGUUGUAAAAGGGUCAUUGGAAGGUGGCUUUCUUUUCGGAGAAAGUGUUUAUAGCCUUUGGCCUCUGCAAUCGGAGAGAUCGAGGUCUGCAGCGUAGAUCCUUCGGGGUUAGAUACAUUUGUGCUAAGUUAUAGCCUCUCAUAGACAACUUGUUGACUAUGAUCAGUCAUGUAGCUUACUCGCUUAUGCUAUUUUACCUACGCUUAGGAUGUUGAUAGUCACAGCGUGUAC
This 776-nucleotide ribosomal RNA is filed under the name uncultured Neocallimastigales. RNAcentral describes it as "partial large subunit ribosomal RNA". It matches the Rfam family "Eukaryotic large subunit ribosomal RNA", at positions 24 to 629 of the family's 3401-position model. The record is from RNAcentral. Lineage: Eukaryota; Fungi; Neocallimastigomycota; Neocallimastigomycetes; Neocallimastigales.